CACAAACCAAAACUUGUCUCGUCAUCCACAUCCGCAAACUCCCUUCCCGCACAAAACCGAGCAGAGGAGAGGAAAGAGAGAGAUGGAGGAAUAAAGCGGAGAGGGAGAGCCGAGCCGGAGAUCAAAAGGAGCAAGGAAAGCCGAUAGCUUGUGUGUGUGUAGAGAGAGAGAGAGAGAGCAAGAGAGGUGUGCGCCCCCAAUCCCCAUGGCCUCUGCUCCUGCUGCUAUAUAAGACCCGGGGGCUCCUCUGCUUCCCAAUCCACCCAUCCUGGUCUCAUGCUUCGGUCCACGCAACCGCCCAGCCCCUCCAGCGGCAGCGGCACCUCGGCGGCGCCGGCGUCCGGCUCCGACGCCAAGAUGGUCGGCGGCGGCGCGCCGAGCGGGGCCAAGCUGCUGCAGAUCCUCAACGUGCGGUUGGUGGGCAGCGGCGAGCGCGUGGUGGUGCUGUCCCACGGCUUCGGGACGGACCAGUCGGCGUGGAGCCGCGUGCUCCCCUACCUCACCCGCGACCACCGCGUGGUGCUCUACGACCUCGUCUGCGCCGGCAGCGUGAACCCGGAGCACUUCGACUUCCGCCGCUACGACACGCUCGACUCGUACGUCGACGACCUGCUCGCCAUCCUCGACGCGCUCCGCAUCCCGCCCUGCGCCUUCGUCGGCCACUCCGUCUCCGCCAUGAUCGGCAUCCUCGCCUCCAUCCGCCGCCCCGAGCUCUUCGCCAAGCUCAUCCUCAUCGGCGCCUCGCCCAGGUUCCUGAACGACAACGACUACCACGGCGGGUUCGAGCUGCCGGAGAUCCAGCAGGUGUUCGACGCCAUGGCGGCCAACUACUCGGCGUGGGCGACGGGGUACGCGCCGCUGGCGGUGGGCGCGGACGUGCCGGCGGCGGUGCAGGAGUUCAGCCGCACCCUCUUCAACAUGCGCCCGGACAUCUCCCUCCACGUCUGCCGCACGGUGUUCAACACGGACCUCCGCGGCGUGCUGGGCAUGGUGCGCGCCCCCUGCGUGGUGGUGCAGACCACCCGCGACGUCUCCGUCCCGGCCUCCGUCGCCGCCUACCUCAAGGCCCACCUCGGCGGCCGCACCACCGUCGAGUUCCUCCAGACCGAGGGCCACCUCCCGCACCUCAGCGCCCCCGGCCUCCUCGCCCAGGUGCUCCGCCGCGCGCUCGCCCGGUUCUAGCGACGCGGCGAUCGGUAUUUUUACCGCCUCGAUUUUUACCCUUUGCCAAGAAUCAAAAAUGGCGCGACCCGCGCCGCUGCUGCUGUGUGUGUGCCAUGACUGUAGUCUGUAGUAGAACUUGUUCUGGUGCCCGAAUUUUUUUUUAACUUUUUACUGGAGCAGUCGUACUGGUACUCCGCAUCUUGCCUUCUUCUCCUGCACCGCCACUGCACCUGUACCGAGGGACAGAUAAGCGGGCCUUCUGGCGCCACGUGGCGGGUACUCGAGACGGUGCACGAGUUCCUUCCAGCUUUUUAAGCCUUGUCCCAUCUGCUAUGAGAUUGGGAUCUACUGACCUGAUUAAGCGGAUAAUGGUAUCGAUUGGUUGGAAUCAUCAUGUCACUUGCAUAAUAACUGGGUUGUGGAUAAGUCCUGAAGAUGAAAGUGGCGAGAUUUUUUUUAUAUAUAUAAAAGGAAAGGUGUGGCGGAUGUCUGCCCACGGCAUGCAUGGCCCAUCUUAUCGUCA
Panicum virgatum (switchgrass) is the source of this 1687-nucleotide RNA transcript. It is a transcript of the gene named strigolactone esterase D14, with no coding region annotated. The record is from RefSeq and is a predicted model, not a curated record. NCBI's taxonomy places the organism in Eukaryota, Viridiplantae, Streptophyta, Magnoliopsida, Poales, Poaceae. The transcript has 3 exons.